CUUGACAUCCCGAUGCUAUUCUAGAGAUAGAAAGUUACUUCGGUACAUCGGUGACAGGUGGUGCAUGGUUGUCGUCAGCUCGUGUCGUGAGAUGUUGGGUUAAGUCCCGCAACGAGCGCAACCCCUAUUGUUAGUUGCCAUCAUUCAGUUGGGCACUCUAGCGAGACUGCCGGUAAUAAACCGGAGGAAGGUGGGGAUGACGUCAAAUCAUCAUGCCCCUUAUGACCUGGGCUACACACGUGCUACAAUGGUUGGUACAACGAGUUGCGAGUCGGUGACGGCGAGCUAAUCUCUUAAAGCCAAUCUCAGUUCGGAUUGUAGGCUGCAACUCGCCUACAUGAAGUCGGAAUCGCUAGUAAUCGCGGAUCAGCACGCCGCGGUGAAUACGUUCCCGGGCCUU
RNAcentral lists this ribosomal RNA (400 nucleotides) under uncultured Streptococcus sp. RNAcentral's name for it is "bacterial SSU rRNA". It matches the Rfam family "Bacterial small subunit ribosomal RNA", at positions 980 to 1382 of the family's 1533-position model. The record is from RNAcentral. Lineage: Bacteria; Bacillati; Bacillota; Bacilli; Lactobacillales; Streptococcaceae.